Molecule: non-coding RNA, 347 nt
Organism: Pogona vitticeps (central bearded dragon)
Lineage: Eukaryota; Metazoa; Chordata; Lepidosauria; Squamata; Agamidae
Source: RefSeq, a predicted model, not a curated record
AAGACACAUCUCAUGAUGCACUGUGGUAUGUUAGGUGUGACAAGGACAAAAAUGAGACAAAACCAAGAAAGCUCCUGGAGAUUUCUCUAGGGUUAUUCAGAAGGCCCCUCAUUACCUCAGGCCCACAGCUUUAUGCUAUAUGUAAUCCCUCCCAUACUUGAGGCCCCAGAUAUCAUUGGACCGCAACCUCCAGAAAUUCACACCAACAUCACCACGGCUCUGAAAAACUUCACAUUCAGACUUACUUUAUGCAGAUGCAAGAUUGUAAGAGAUAUACGGGAAGGCAGAAAGCAGACAUUAUCACAAGGCCAGUUUUUAAGGUAGAGAACACACAGAAAUGGUUUAUC